CAGGUGGGUGUUGGGCAGAGCCCCUAGGUCCUGGAGGACAUCAGGUGGGUGUUGGGCAGAGCCCCUAGGUCCUGGAGGACAUCAGGUGGGUGUUGGGCAGAGCCCCUAGGUCCUGGAGAACAGGUAACGGAGGACAUCGGUGGAUCUGGGUGUUGGGUUGAACCCCCUAGGUCCUGGAGAACAUCAGUUGGGUUUGGGUGUUGGGCAGAACCCCCUAGGUCCUGGAGAACAUCAGUUGGGUCUGGGUGUUGGGUUGAACCCCCUAGGUCCUGGAGAACAUCAGUUGGGUCUGGGUGUUGGGCAGAACCCCCUAGGUCCUGGAGAACAUCAGGUGGGUGUUGGGCAGAACCCCUAGGUCCUGGAGAACAGGUAACGGAGGACAUCGGUGGAUCUGGGUGUUGGGUUGAACCCCCUAGGUCCUGGAGAACAUCAGUUGGGUUUGGGUGUUGGGCAG
Molecule: long non-coding RNA, 454 nt
Organism: Oncorhynchus tshawytscha (Chinook salmon)
Lineage: Eukaryota; Metazoa; Chordata; Actinopteri; Salmoniformes; Salmonidae
Source: Ensembl